Molecule: ribosomal RNA, 1667 nt
Filed under: Salmonella enterica subsp. enterica serovar Bareilly
Lineage: Bacteria; Pseudomonadati; Pseudomonadota; Gammaproteobacteria; Enterobacterales; Enterobacteriaceae
Description: partial 23S ribosomal RNA
Rfam family: Bacterial large subunit ribosomal RNA
Source: RNAcentral
GAAUGCUGACAUAAGUAACGAUAAAGCGGGUGAAAAGCCCGCUCGCCGGAAGACCAAGGGUUCCUGUCCAACGUUAAUCGGGGCAGGGUGAGUCGACCCCUAAGGCGAGGCCGAAAGGCGUAGUCGAUGGGAAACGGGUUAAUAUUCCCGUACUUGGUGUUACUGCGAAGGGGGGACGGAGAAGGCUAUGUUGGCCGGGCGACGGUUGUCCCGGUUUAAGCGUGUAGGUGUGUGUUCCAGGUAAAUCCGGUUCACUUUAACACUGAGGCGUGAUGACGAGGCACUACGGUGCUGAAGCAACAAAUGCCCUGCUUCCAGGAAAAGCCUCUAAGCAUCAGGUAACAUCAAAUCGUACCCCAAACCGACACAGGUGGUCAGGUAGAGAAUACCAAGGCGCUUGAGAGAACUCGGGUGAAGGAACUAGGCAAAAUGGUGCCGUAACUUCGGGAGAAGGCACGCUGACACGUAGGUGAAGUGAUUUACUCACGGAGCUGAAGUCAGUCGAAGAUACCAGCUGGCUGCAACUGUUUAUUAAAAACACAGCACUGUGCAAACACGAAAGUGGACGUAUACGGUGUGACGCCUGCCCGGUGCCGGAAGGUUAAUUGAUGGGGUCAGCGCAAGCGAAGCUCCUGAUCGAAGCCCCGGUAAACGGCGGCCGUAACUAUAACGGUCCUAAGGUAGCGAAAUUCCUUGUCGGGUAAGUUCCGACCUGCACGAAUGGCGUAAUGAUGGCCAGGCUGUCUCCACCCGAGACUCAGUGAAAUUGAACUCGCUGUGAAGAUGCAGUGUACCCGCGGCAAGACGGAAAGACCCCGUGAACCUUUACUAUAGCUUGACACUGAACAUUGAGCCUUGAUGUGUAGGAUAGGUGGGAGGCUUUGAAGUGUGGACGCCAGUCUGCAUGGAGCCGACCUUGAAAUACCACCCUUUAAUGUUUGAUGUUCUAACGUGGACCCGUGAUCCGGGUUGCGGACAGUGUCUGGUGGGUAGUUUGACUGGGGCGGUCUCCUCCUAAAGAGUAACGGAGGAGCACGAAGGUUGGCUAAUCCUGGUCGGACAUCAGGAGGUUAGUGCAAUGGCAUAAGCCAGCUUGACUGCGAGCGUGACGGCGCGAGCAGGUGCGAAAGCAGGUCAUAGUGAUCCGGUGGUUCUGAAUGGAAGGGCCAUCGCUCAACGGAUAAAAGGUACUCCGGGGAUAACAGGCUGAUACCGCCCAAGAGUUCAUAUCGACGGCGGUGUUUGGCACCUCGAUGUCGGCUCAUCACAUCCUGGGGCUGAAGUAGGUCCCAAGGGUAUGGCUGUUCGCCAUUUAAAGUGGUACGCGAGCUGGGUUUAGAACGUCGUGAGACAGUUCGGUCCCUAUCUGCCGUGGGCGCUGGAGAACUGAGGGGGGCUGCUCCUAGUACGAGAGGACCGGAGUGGACGCAUCACUGGUGUUCGGGUUGUCAUGCCAAUGGCACUGCCCGGUAGCUAAAUGCGGAAGAGAUAAGUGCUGAAAGCAUCUAAGCACGAAACUUGCCCCGAGAUGAGUUCUCCCUGAGACUUAGAGUCUCCUGAAGGAACGUUGAAGACGACGACGUUGAUAGGCCGGGUGUGUAAGCGCAGCGAUGCGUUGAGCUAACCGGUACUAAUGAACCGUGAGGCUUAACCUUACAACGCCGAAG